UAAGUGACCAGACUGGAGGUAAGGUCCCUGGUCGAGCUUUGCUCUCGGGGCGCCAGUCUUAUUGGAUUAAGAGAGUCGAAUGGCUAUUAGAUUUCUUAUUUGGAUAUUUAAGUGACCAGACUGGAGGUAAGGUCCCUGGUCGAGCUUUGCUCUCGGGGCGCCAGUCUUAUUGGAUAAGAGAGCCAAAAGGCUAAGGCUGAGAGUUAAGUGACCGGACUGGAGGUAAGGUCCCUGGUCGAGCUUUGCUCUCUGGGCGCCAGUCCUGUUGGAAUGAGAGGUUUGAGAUGAUAGAGUUGAGGUUAGU
This 304-nucleotide long non-coding RNA is filed under the name Ricinus communis (castor bean). RNAcentral's name for it is "long non-coding RNA (RCOM_LNC003749)". Lineage: Eukaryota; Viridiplantae; Streptophyta; Magnoliopsida; Malpighiales; Euphorbiaceae. The record is from RNAcentral.